Long non-coding RNA from Triplophysa rosa, 1951 nucleotides. RefSeq lists it as uncharacterized. Lineage: Eukaryota; Metazoa; Chordata; Actinopteri; Cypriniformes; Nemacheilidae. The record is from RefSeq and is a predicted model, not a curated record. The transcript has 4 exons.
UAAUUCUCUUAAACCUGAUUUACAACCAGUGGAAAUCUAUCAGGUUUAAGAUGUAUACACUGAAUUUACAUACAUUUCUAAUCUUCCUUUUAAAAUAACUAUUUCCUUUCCUUGUUGUUUAUUAGCAUGAUUCGUUGUUUUGACUGUCAAUCAGAUCUCUGGCAAAUGACAAUUAAGCGCGCCUUUUCAACGUUUCAAAUCUGUAGGCGUAUUUGCUGCCGCUGGAGGUCUUCAGUAAUACUUUGGUCGGUUCACUAAUGGUUUUUACCUGGAUUGUUUUACAUUUAACGGCUAAAUUAUUAUGUUGUCUACAUUUUAGUUGUUAAAUGUCAAUAGAGAACUUAAAAAAAGAAUUUGGACAAAGACAUUGCAGAAGGUAAUAAAUAGCUUUCACCCUUUAAGUUACCGUUUUCUACUGCUAUCUGUUACAUGCUAAUCGCGAUUAGCACAGGAUAUUAUAUAAGUAUAUAAUUGUAGUAACUAAUUCUAGUUAACUAAUGUGUGUUGUUUUUGUGUAUGUUAUAUGCGUUAGUCAAGCUCACGCUACAGGAUAGUACCUGGUUUGCUAUAGUGCAUUUCUUGUCGUGCUUCGACUUUGUAGCAUCUGCACUAACGUUACACAGACGAAGUCUGCUAAUAACAAGAUUUUUGGUCAAGGUCGGUUCGUAUUUUAUUAUACAGACAUGUUUCUUUUGUGUUGUUAUAUGAGGCUGAUAUUUAAAGCAUUUGACACGCUCUGUAAUGUUAGAAUCAGGUCAAAAGUCCCGUUGUGUGAUCCCGGUUUUACAAUCACCAGCUAGUUUAAUGAUCAAGAACGUAGCAUAAAAAUUAAAGGCGAUUUGGAAUGAGUAAAUUAAUCACUGUCAUGUACACUUGUUAGACCGAGAGGAACUUGAACCUUACUCCUGGACUCUGGGAAAUUUUGCAGUCCAGUUUUUUGGAUCUAUUGUGGAUCGCUGGGACUUGCCGAUAAGUGGAAAUGAGUUGAAAGGAUACCAUACACAAGCCAAUCAAGCAUUGCAGCAUUGUUAACGGAAAGAACAUGCACCAACAGAAGGAGAAAUUCAUUACUAAUGCACCAAGGAUUAAGCUGAUUAUUGGCAGUUUGGAGGAUUGCUCUUUAUAUGUCACUUCUGGUACAGAAUCAUUGACAUUUUGAUAUUUGUAAUAUAUUUAUUUUAUUAUAGUUUUAUGUUUAUUUUUACUAAUAAUACACUUGUUAAGCUGUGGUUCUGAAUUAAAAGACUGUAUGGAGCUCCCAGGUGUCAGGUAGAAUAUUUUGGAAAACUGGUUUGGGAAAUACAAGCUAAAACAGCACAAUUUGUUAUUUUCUUCACCUGUUUCAAAGGUCAAAUCAUUACACAAUAGUAAUACUAAUAGAAUAAAUGCCAUUCUUAUUUCAUCAUUUACUUCUGGGAGCUCUAAAGUACGGUUUAUAAAGAAUCCAAAUUUACAUCUGAAUACGUUAAAACUGUUUUACAAUCAAUAGUGAAAAUCUUGACUAAAUAUUACGAAUUUGACUAAACGUUUUACUGUUAAUAAGUACACAAGUUUAAAUGUUUGUGUUUUAUAACGAAAUCAUUACAUUUUAAAUAAUACAAUUGUUGCAAUUUAAAGUUUGAAAUUAUUUGAAUCAAUUAAACUGUAUUUUUACUUGACUUUUUGUCUACCUGAAUACAUUUUUUAAAUUACAAUCUUGAACAUGUCUUUCAAUUUACAAUUUUUUUAAGGUGUUUGAUCGUAAUAAUCUGGGAAAAAUCUGUAAAAUAGCAGAUUUUCUCUGCAUAAUUUUUAGCGCUGUUGCUUUAUUUAAGGUGUUAGACUGUAAUAAUCUGGGAAAAGUCUGUAAAAUAAUAGGUUUUCUCUGUAGAACUAUUAGCGCUGUAGCUUUAUUAAACGUUUUUGACUGUAAUAAUCUGGGAAAAAUCUGUAAAAUAAUAGAUUUUCUCUG